This 342-nucleotide ribosomal RNA is filed under the name uncultured bacterium. RNAcentral's name for it is "bacterial SSU rRNA". It matches the Rfam family "Bacterial small subunit ribosomal RNA", at positions 29 to 364 of the family's 1533-position model. The record is from RNAcentral.
AAUGAACGCUGGCGGCGUGGAUUAGGCAUGCAAGUCGAACGCGAAAGUUCCCUUCGGGGAGCGAGUAGAGUGGCGAAAGGGUGAGUAAUGCUUGGAUGACCUGCCCUCGAGACGGGGACAACAGUUCGAAAGGACUGCUAAUACCCGAUAGUCCGGUUUAGAUGCGUCUAGAUCGGUAAAUGGUGCUUCCGCUCGAGGAGGGGUUCGAAGUCCUAUCAGCUUGUUGGUGAGGUAACGGCUCACCAAGGCGAUGACGGGUAGCCGGACUGAGAGGUUGGCCGGCCGACAUGGGAACGUGAGACACUGUCCUGACUCCUACGGGAGGCGUGCAGUCGAGAAUAC